CGGUUUUAGAUGGGCAUGCGUGACAUUAGCUAGUUGGUGAGGUAACGGCUCACCAAGGCUCCGAUGUCUAGGGGUUCUGAGAGGAUUAACCCCCACACUGGUACUGAGACACGGACCAGACUCCUACGGGAGGCAGCAGUAAGGAAUAUUGGGCAAUGGACGCAAGUCUGACCCAGCCAUGCCGCGUGAAGGAUGACGGCCCUAUGGGUUAUAAACUUCUUUUGUACGGGAAAAACCUUCGAACGUGUUCGAAGCUGAUGGUACCGUAAGAAUAAGCAUCGGCUAACUCCGUG
Molecule: ribosomal RNA, 293 nt
Filed under: uncultured bacterium
Lineage: Bacteria
Description: partial 16S ribosomal RNA
Rfam family: Bacterial small subunit ribosomal RNA
Source: RNAcentral